AGAGUUUGAUCAUGGCUCAGGACGAACGCUGGCGGCGUGCCUAAUACAUGCAAGUCGAGCGAGAAAGGGGCUUCGGCUCCGAGUAGAGCGGCGCACGGGUGCGUAACACGUGGGUAAUCUUCCUCCGGGUUGGGAAUAACUCUUCGAAAGGAGAGCUAAUACCGAAUAAGCCCACGGUUCCUUCGGGGACUGAGGGAAAA
RNAcentral lists this ribosomal RNA (200 nucleotides) under uncultured bacterium. Its description in RNAcentral is "partial 16S ribosomal RNA". It matches the Rfam family "Bacterial small subunit ribosomal RNA", at positions 8 to 205 of the family's 1533-position model. The record is from RNAcentral.